Molecule: RNase P RNA, 491 nt
Filed under: Phycisphaerae bacterium
Lineage: Bacteria; Pseudomonadati; Planctomycetota; Phycisphaerae
Description: RNase P RNA component class A
Rfam family: Bacterial RNase P class A
About the family: Ribonuclease P (RNase P) is a ubiquitous endoribonuclease, found in archaea, bacteria and eukarya as well as chloroplasts and mitochondria. Its best characterised activity is the generation of mature 5'-ends of tRNAs by cleaving the 5'-leader elements of precursor-tRNAs.
Source: RNAcentral
CGGCGCGGCAAUGCGGCCGCGGGCGGGCGUUUCGGCGCCGGUCCGAGGAAAGUCCGAGCACGAGAGGACAAGGUGGUGGGUAACGCCCACCCGUCGGGACACUCGUUGUGGUCACCGGCGAGGGAAAGUGCGAAGAAAACAGACCGCCGAUGGCCUCUGGGUAGGUCGGCUCUCCGAGCCGACAACUCAGCGGCACAGGCAAGGGUGAGAGGGUGCGGUAAGAGCGCACCGCCCGGCUGGCGACAGUCCGGAGGCUAGCAAACCCCACCUCGUGCAAGCCCAAGCAGGCCCCACGGUGAUCCGUCACCGACCGUUGGUCCGGCGGCGGGGCCGGGUAGGGUGCUGGGAACUUCGGUUCCCCAUCGCGUCGGCAACGGCGCGAGAAGAGAAAUGGCCGCACGGCCCGCAAGGUCGUUCAUCAGAGCCCCCGUCAACGCGAUGAACGAAACCAACGGGCCCGACAGAACUCGGCUUACAAGCCGCGCCCGACC